GACGAACGCUGGCGGCGUGCCUAAUACAUGCAAGUAGAACGCUGAAGAGAGGAGCUUACUCUUCUUGGAUGAGUUGCGAACGGGUGAGUAACGCGUAGGUAACCUGCCUUGUAGCGGGGGAUAACUAUUGGAAACGAUAGCUAAUACCGCAUAACAAUGGAUGACACAUGUCAUUUAUUUGAAAGGGGCAAUUGCUCCACUACAAGAUGGACCUGCGUUGUAUUAGCUAGUAGGUGAGGUAAUGGCUCACCUAGGCGACGGUACAUAGCCGACCUGAGAGGGUGAUCGGCCACACUGGGACUGAGACACGGCCCAGACUCCUACGGGAGGCAGCAGUAGGGAAUCUUCGGCAAUGGGGGCAACCCUGACCGAGCAACGCCGCGUGAGUGAAGAAGGUUUUCGGAUCGUAAAGCUCUGUUGUAAGUCAAGAACGGGUGUGAGAGUGGAAAGUUCACACUGUGACGGUAGCUUACCAGAAAGGGACGGCUAACUACGUG
Molecule: ribosomal RNA, 497 nt
Filed under: uncultured bacterium
Lineage: Bacteria
Description: partial 16S ribosomal RNA
Rfam family: Bacterial small subunit ribosomal RNA
Source: RNAcentral